GAAUGUUGGACAAUGGGCGCAAGCCUGAUCCAGCCAUACCGCGUGGGUGAAGAAGGCCUUCGGGUUGUAAAGCCCUUUUGUUGGGAAAGAAAAGCAGUCGGCUAAUACCCGGUUGUUCUGACGGUGCCCACAGCAUAAGCACCGGCUAACUCUGUGCCAGCAACCGCGGUCAUACGUAGGGUGCAAGCGUUACUCGGCAUUACUGGGCGUAAAGCGUGCGUAGGUGGUUGUUUAAGUCUGUUGUGAAAGCCCUGGGCUCAACCUGGGAAUUGCAGUGGAUACUGGGCGACUAGAGUGUGGUAGAGGGUAGUGGAAUUCCCGGUGUAGCAGUGAAAUGCGUAGAGAUCGGGAGGAACAUCCAUGGCGAAGGCAGCUACCUGGACCAACACUGACACUGAGGCACGAAAGCGUGGGGAGCAAACAGG
This 425-nucleotide ribosomal RNA is filed under the name uncultured bacterium. RNAcentral describes it as "partial 16S ribosomal RNA". It matches the Rfam family "Bacterial small subunit ribosomal RNA", at positions 359 to 776 of the family's 1533-position model. The record is from RNAcentral.